AGUGAACGCUGGCGGUAGGCCUAACACAUGCAAGUCGAACGGCAGCACAGUAAGAGCUUGCUCUUACGGGUGGCGAGUGGCGGACGGGUGAGGAAUACAUCGGAAUCUACUUUUUCGUGGGGGAUAACGUAGGGAAACUUACGCUAAUACCGCAUACGACCUACGGGUGAAAGCAGUGGAUCUUCGGACCUUGCGCGAUUGAAUGAGCCGCUGUCGGAUUAGCUAGUUGGCGGGGUAAAGGCCCACCAAGGCGACGAUCCGUAGCUUGUCUGAGAGGAUGAUCAGCCACACUGGAACUGAGACACGGUCCAGACUACUACAGGAGGCAGCAGUGGGGAAUAUUGGGCAAUGGGCGCGAGCCUGAUCCAGCCAUACCGCGUGGGUGAAGAAGGCCUUCGGGUUGUAAAGCCCUUUUGUUGGGAAAGAAAAGCAGCAGGUUAAUACCACGCUGUUCUGACGGUACCCAAAGAAUAAGCACCGGCUAACUUCGUG
This 492-nucleotide ribosomal RNA is filed under the name uncultured bacterium. RNAcentral describes it as "partial 16S ribosomal RNA". It matches the Rfam family "Bacterial small subunit ribosomal RNA", at positions 29 to 507 of the family's 1533-position model. The record is from RNAcentral.